AAAUAGCCCCGAUUGAAGGGAAAAUCCUGUUAUUGCGAGCGGUAAAAAUCUUCUUUUCAACGGAUUGCUUCGCUCCGCUCGCAAUGACAGAUUGGAAUGAAAAGCGGGACCAAUG
This 115-nucleotide small RNA is filed under the name Halpernia humi. RNAcentral's name for it is "Chryseobacterium humi Flavo-1 RNA". It matches the Rfam family "Flavo-1 RNA". Lineage: Bacteria; Pseudomonadati; Bacteroidota; Flavobacteriia; Flavobacteriales; Weeksellaceae. The record is from RNAcentral.